Molecule: unclassified non-coding RNA, 329 nt
Filed under: soil metagenome
Description: partial contains 5.8S ribosomal RNA, internal transcribed spacer 2, and large subunit ribosomal RNA
Rfam family: 5.8S ribosomal RNA (bases 1-120)
Source: RNAcentral
GAUGAAGAACGUAGUGAAAUGCGAUAAGUAAUGUGAAUUGCAGAAUUCAGUGAAUCAUCGAAUCUUUGAACGCACAUUGCGCCCCUUGGUAUUCCGGGGGGCAUGCCUGUUCGAGCGUCAUUAUCACCCCUCAAGCUCAGCUUGGUGUUGGGGCCUGCCGUCAAGGCAGCCCUUAAAAUCAGUGGCGGCGCCAUCUGGCUCUAAGCGUAGUAAUUCUUCUCGCUAUGGAGUCCUGGUGGAUGCUUGCCAUCAACCCCCAAUUUUUCUAUGGUUGACCUCGGAUCAGGUAGGGAUACCCGCUGAACUUAAGCAUAUCAAUAAGCGGAGGA